This 521-nucleotide long non-coding RNA is filed under the name Medicago truncatula (barrel medic). RNAcentral's name for it is "lncRNA gene5723". Lineage: Eukaryota; Viridiplantae; Streptophyta; Magnoliopsida; Fabales; Fabaceae. The record is from RNAcentral.
UACUUAAUAGUAUGCCAUCCGGUAGCUUUUAAUUCAACUUAGGCACAUAUAUAAUAUAUAUGAGAAGGGUUAAUGUAGUCAGAAUGCAGUGUAAGGGCUUCCAUUCUGUUCAGUAUUGUAAUUAGUCAGUGUUCCAGUGUUUGUUAAUUUUAAUUCAGUUAGGUUAGUUUUCAAUUACUGACAAUUAAUGUCAGUUUCUGUUAGUGUAUUAAUUUUAAUCUAGAAUCCUAAUUCACAGUACUGGUAUAAUAAAAAAUUAGGAGUUGGGUUAUCUAUGCACAUUGUUAAUCUGUCAUUUUGAAAAUUCUUAAAUAAGGGGUAUGUUCCUUAAAAUAAAAACACCCAUCCAUUCCAUUCCCCCUCCAAAGGCCAAACUCAUGCAUAUGAUUAGGUAUAGCAGUUAAGUUUUUCUUCUUCCAUUCAAAACUUAUUAAUGAAACCCCAUAAUAAUAAAAUGUCGGUUACCAUUAAUGCCAGCAUCACAGCUAUUCUCUGUCUUUGAAGAUUAUACUUACCCUUAU